UUCAGCUGUUUAAUUGUCACAUUCAAACCAUGAUGAUUCAUACAUUUACAGUUCAAUUAAAAAAUCCCAAAUCUUGUAUAAACACAGUCCUAGCAUACGUGUACGCUUGUAAGUCUUGUACGCUUGAAUUUCUUUUCAAUAAUAACACUCCAAUAUAGUAGAUCAAGGAUAUAUGCCAUCAUUCCCAUCAAUAUACUCACUCAGAGUGAACCAAGAGUAUGAAUUAUUACCAUAACGAAGUCUGUUAUUUUGCCCAAAUGAAUUAAAGUAUGCAUAAAUCAAUCCUUAAUCCCUUCACCACUUUUUCGGACGAAAAGCAACAAAAAAUUCGUCAAAAUAAGCAACUUUUCAGGCCAAAUAAAGCAAAAUAUAUCGUAUUUACUCAUAUUGGCCGCGCUCGUGAACGC
Non-coding RNA from Paramuricea clavata, 407 nucleotides. The record is from the annotation of a GenBank genome assembly. NCBI's taxonomy places the organism in Eukaryota, Metazoa, Cnidaria, Anthozoa, Malacalcyonacea, Plexauridae.